GUGUGGCUCAGUGCUAGAGCACUUGCUUAGCAUGCAGAGAGGACCUGGGUUCAAUCCCCAACAC
This 64-nucleotide transfer RNA is filed under the name Ictidomys tridecemlineatus (thirteen-lined ground squirrel). Its description in RNAcentral is "Spermophilus tridecemlineatus (thirteen-lined ground squirrel) tRNA". It matches the Rfam family "tRNA", at positions 5 to 66 of the family's 71-position model. Rfam says of the family: Transfer RNA (tRNA) molecules are approximately 80 nucleotides in length. Lineage: Eukaryota; Metazoa; Chordata; Mammalia; Rodentia; Sciuridae. The record is from Rfam by way of RNAcentral. RNAcentral also lists the same sequence under 1 other name.